AGAGCGAACGCUGGCGGCAGGCCUAAAACAUGCAAGUCGAACGGAUCCUUCGGGAUUAGUGGCGGACGGGUGAGUAACACGUGGGAACGUGCCUUUUGGUUCGGAACAACUCAGGGAAACUUGAGCUAAUACCGAAUGUGCCCUUCGGGGGAAAGAUUUAUCGCCAUUAGAGCGGCCCGCGUCUGAUUAGCUAGUUGGUAGGGUAAAGGCCUACCAAGGCUACGAUCGGUAGCUGGUCUGAGAGGAUGAUCAGCCACACUGGGACUGAGACACGGCCCAGACUCCUACGGGAGGCAGCAGUUAGGAAUCUUGCGCAAUGGGCGAAAGCCUGACGCAGCCAUGCCGCGUGAAUGAUGAAGGUCUUAGGAUUGUAAAAUUCUUUCAGCGGGGACGAUAAUGACGGUACCCGCAGAAGAAGCUCCGGCUAACUUCGUGCCAGCAGCCGC
This 446-nucleotide ribosomal RNA is filed under the name uncultured bacterium. RNAcentral describes it as "SSU rRNA". It matches the Rfam family "Bacterial small subunit ribosomal RNA", at positions 26 to 518 of the family's 1533-position model. The record is from RNAcentral.